GAAGGGGACAUGAGAGAAGCCUCCCCGCAGGAUAGUAACACAUCCGGAGGUUCCCUGGGCAACGUCUUUGUAGACGGCUGAUUCUCUCACACCAGAAGUGACUUGCAGCAUGCAAGCAGACAAAUUCUCAGUUCACUUCUGACACGAUAAAUUAAAAAAACAUUUUAAGAAGUGCUACAAUUAACCAGGUGGCAACAGAAAAGCAUCAAAAUGUGCCUUUCUUUUCUUUCCAUCUAUACUCAUUGUCCCACUAUGUUGUUCAGAUGUAACAGUUCUCCUUGUGGAAAAAUAACCUAAAUCUUCUUGAACUUUGGGGCUGCC
Molecule: long non-coding RNA, 321 nt
Filed under: Anolis carolinensis (green anole)
Lineage: Eukaryota; Metazoa; Chordata; Lepidosauria; Squamata; Anolidae
Description: lncRNA (ENSACAG00000044328.1)
Source: RNAcentral